AUGCCGGCUAUGCUCAAGCUCUACGAGGGCGAUUGUAGGGGAUUUGCGAAGCUAAAUAAGGCGCACAUUGUACUCAUCCCCAAGAAGCCGGAUGCUGAGGAAAUGGGAGACUAUCGGCCUAUUAGUCUUACCCAUAGCAUUCCUAAGUUGUUUGCUAAGGCCCUUGCCAAUAGAUUAAGGAAGCAGAUGCAUGACAUUGUGGAGACUAACCAAUCGGCUUUCAUCAAAGGUAGACAUUUACAUGAAAAUUUCCUCCUCGUGAGGCAAGUGGCAAGGGAGCUACAUGCUAGGAGAGCCUCGGCUGUGUUCCUCAAGUUAGAUAUUUCGAGAGCUUUUGACUCUUUGUCAUGGCCUUUGUUGUUUGAGGUCAUGGAAGCCAAAGGGUUUGGAACUCGGUGGAUGAGAUGGGUGGCCUUGCUACUCCAAACUACUAGCACUAAGAUCAUUGACAAUGGUAUUCCAGGAAAGAGUUUUGCACAUGCUUGUGGGCUCCGGCAAGGAGACCCUAUCUCCCCGCUGUUAUUCGUCAUAGCCAUGGAUGUCUUGACGACCAUGGUUAAAAAAGCUACUAAGGUGGGGGUGCUUAGUUCGACACCAUGGAUCUCACCUAUGCAGAGGUUGUCCAUUUAUGCGGAUGAUGUCGCCAUGUUUAUGAAGCCAACUACUAUGGAUUUGAGCUUCAUUCGGUAUGCCCUGGAAGCAUUUGGUGCUGCCUCGGGCCUGCAAGUGAACUACCGGAAGUCAUCGGCCAUUGCGAUCAGAGGAGAUCACGAGGACAAAGCUAGAGUGGCUACUUUUCUUGCGUGCUAUCUGGCAGAUUUCCCUUGCAAGUACCUUGGCCUUUAG
RNAcentral lists this ribosomal RNA (846 nucleotides) under Triticum aestivum (bread wheat). Its description in RNAcentral is "partial small subunit ribosomal RNA". Lineage: Eukaryota; Viridiplantae; Streptophyta; Magnoliopsida; Poales; Poaceae. The record is from RNAcentral.